This 931-nucleotide ribosomal RNA is filed under the name Nothophoma quercina. RNAcentral's name for it is "partial large subunit ribosomal RNA". It matches the Rfam family "Eukaryotic large subunit ribosomal RNA", at positions 71 to 1022 of the family's 3401-position model. Lineage: Eukaryota; Fungi; Ascomycota; Dothideomycetes; Pleosporales; Didymellaceae. The record is from RNAcentral.
GGGAUUGCCCUAGUAACGGCGAGUGAAGCGGCAACAGCUCAAAUUUGAAAUCUGGCGUCUUUGGCGUCCGAGUUGUAAUUUGCAGAGGGCGCUUUGGCAUUGGCAGCGGUCCAAGUUCCUUGGAACAGGACGUCACAGAGGGUGAGAAUCCCGUACGUGGUCGCUAGCCUUUACCGUGUAAAGCCCCUUCGACGAGUCGAGUUGUUUGGGAAUGCAGCUCUAAAUGGGAGGUAAAUUUCUUCUAAAGCUAAAUACUGGCCAGAGACCGAUAGCGCACAAGUAGAGUGAUCGAAAGAUGAAAAGCACUUUGGAAAGAGAGUUAAAAAGCACGUGAAAUUGUUGAAAGGGAAGCGCUUGCAGCCAGACUUGCCUGUAGUUGCUCAUCCGGGUUUCUACCCGGUGCACUCUUCUAUAGGCAGGCCAGCAUCAGUUUGGGCGGUUGGAUAAAGGUCUCUGUCAUGUACCUCCUUUCGGGGAGAACUUAUAGGGGAGACGACAUGCAACCAGCCUGGACUGAGGUCCGCGCAUCUGCUAGGAUGCUGGCGUAAUGGCUGUAAGCGGCCCGUCUUGAAACACGGACCAAGGAGUCUAACAUCUAUGCGAGUGUUUGGGUGUCAAGCCCGAGCGCGUAAUGAAAGUGAACGGAGGUGGGAACCUUUCGGGGUGCACCAUCGACCGAUCCUGAUGUCUUCGGAUGGAUUUGAGUAAGAGCAUAGCUGUUGGGACCCGAAAGAUGGUGAACUAUGCUUGAAUAGGGUGAAGCCAGAGGAAACUCUGGUGGAGGCUCGCAGCGGUUCUGACGUGCAAAUCGAUCGUCAAAUUUGGGCAUAGGGGCGAAAGACUAAUCGAACUAUCUAGUAGCUGGUUCCUGCCGAAGUUUCCCUCAGGAUAGCAGUAACGUUUUCAGUUUUAUGAGGUAAAGCGAAUGAUU